GGUUAAGCGACUAAGCGUACACGGUGGAUGCCCUGGCAGUCAGAGGCGAUGAAGGACGUGCUAAUCUGCGAUAAGCGUCGGUAAGGUGAUAUGAACCGUUAUAACCGGCGAUUUCCGAAUGGGGAAACCCAGUGUGAUUCGUCACACUAUCAUUACGUGAAUACAUAGCGUAAUGAAGCGAACCGGGGGAACUGAAACAUCUAAGUACCCCGAGGAAAAGAAAUCAACCGAGAUUCCCCCAGUAGCGGCGAGCGAACGGGGAGCAGCCCAGAGUCUGAAUCAGCUUGUGUGUUAGUGGAACGGUCUGGAAAGUCCGACGGUACAGGGUGAUAGUCCCGUACACCAAAAUGCACAGGUUGUGAACUCGAAGAGUAGGGCGGGACACGUGGUAUCCUGUCUGAAUAUGGGGGGACCAUCCUCCAAGGCUAAAUACUCCUGACUGACCGAUAGUGAACCAGUACCGUGAGGGAAAGGCGAAAAGAACCCCGGCGAGGGGAGUGAAAAAGAACCUGAAACCGUGUACGUACAAGCAGUGGGAGCCUCUUUAUGGGGUGACUGCGUACCUUUUGUAUAAUGGGUCAGCGACUUAUAUUCUGUAGCAAGGUUAACCGUAUAGGGGAGCCGAAGGGAAACCGAGUCUUAACUGGGCGUUAAGUUGCAGGGUAUAGACCCGAAACCCGGUGAUCUAGCCAUGGGCAGGUUGAAGGUUGGGUAACACUAACUGGAGGACCGAACCGACUAAUGUUGAAAAAUUAGCGGAUGACUUGUGGCUGGGGGUGAAAGGCCAAUCAAACCGGGAGAUAGCUGGUUCUCCCCGAAAGCUAUUUAGGUAGCGCCUCGUGAACUCAUCUUCGGGGGUAGAGCACUGUUUCGGCUAGGGGGUCAUCCCGACUUACCAACCCGAUGCAAACUGCGAAUACCGAAGAAUGUUAUCACGGGAGACACACGGCGGGUGCUAACGUCCGUCGUGAAGAGGGAAACAACCCAGACCGCCAGCUAAGGUCCCAAAGUCAUGGUUAAGUGGGAAACGAUGUGGGAAGGCACAGACAGCCAGGAUGUUGGCUUAGAAGCAGCCAUCAUUUAAAGAAAGCGUAAUAGCUCACUGGUCGAGUCGGCCUGCGCGGAAGAUGUAACGGGGCUAAACCAUGCACCGAAGCUGCGGCAGCGACACUAUGUGUUGUUGGGUAGGGGAGCGUUCUGUAAGCCGUUGAAGGUGUAUCGUGAGGUAUGCUGGAGGUAUCAGAAGUGCGAAUGCUGACAUAAGUAACGAUAAUGCGGGUGAAAAACCCGCACGCCGGAAGACCAAGGGUUCCUGUCCAACGUUAAUCGGGGCAGGGUGAGUCGACCCCUAAGGCGAGGCCGAAAGGCGUAGUCGAUGGGAAACAGGUUAAUAUUCCUGUACUUGGUGUUACUGCGAAGGGGGGACGGAGAAGGCUAUGUUAGCCGGGCGACGGUUGUCCCGGUUUAAGCAUGUAGGCGGAGGUUCCAGGUAAAUCCGGUACCUUUUAACGCUGAGGUGUGAUGACGAGGCACUACGGUGCUGAAGUAACAAAUGCCCUGCUUCCAGGAAAAGCCUCUAAGCAUCAGGUAACACGAAAUCGUACCCCAAACCGACACAGGUGGUCAGGUAGAGAAUACCAAGGCGCUUGAGAGAACUCGGGUGAAGGAACUAGGCAAAAUGGUGCCGUAACUUCGGGAGAAGGCACGCUGAUAUGUAGGUGAAGUGAUUUACUCAUGGAGCUGAAAUCAGUCGAAGAUACCAGCUGGCUGCAACUGUUUAUUAAAAACACAGCACUGUGCAAACACGAAAGUGGACGUAUACGGUGUGACGCCUGCCCGGUGCCGGAAGGUUAAUUGAUGGGGUUAUCCGUAAGGAGAAGCUCUUGAUCGAAGCCCCGGUAAACGGCGGCCGUAACUAUAACGGUCCUAAGGUAGCGAAAUUCCUUGUCGGGUAAGUUCCGACCUGCACGAAUGGCGUAAUGAUGGCCAGGCUGUCUCCACCCGAGACUCAGUGAAAUUGAACUCGCUGUGAAGAUGCAGUGUACCCGCGGCAAGACGGAAAGACCCCGUGAACCUUUACUAUAGCUUGACACUGAACACUGGUCCUUGAUGUGUAGGAUAGGUGGGAGGCUUUGAAGUGUGGACGCCAGUCUGCAUGGAGCCAUCCUUGAAAUACCACCCUUUAAUGGCUGGUGUUCUAACGUGGACCCGUGAUCCGGGUUGCGGACAGUGUCUGGUGGGUAGUUUGACUGGGGCGGUCUCCUCCUAAAGAGUAACGGAGGAGCACGAAGGUUAGCUAAUCCUGGUCGGACAUCAGGAGGUUAGUGCAAAGGCAUAAGCUAGCUUGACUGCGAGAGUGACGGCUCGAGCAGGUGCGAAAGCAGGUCUUAGUGAUCCGGUGGUUCUGAAUGGAAGGGCCAUCGCUCAACGGAUAAAAGGUACUCCGGGGAUAACAGGCUGAUACCGCCCAAGAGUUCAUAUCGACGGCGGUGUUUGGCACCUCGAUGUCGGCUCAUCACAUCCUGGGGCUGAAGUAGGUCCCAAGGGUAUGGCUGUUCGCCAUUUAAAGUGGUACGCGAGCUGGGUUUAGAACGUCGUGAGACAGUUCGGUCCCUAUCUGCCGUGGGCGCUGGAGAAUUGAGGGGGGCUGCUCCUAGUACGAGAGGACCGGAGUGGACGCAUCACUGGUGUUCGGGUUGUCAUGCCAAUGGCAUUGCCCGGUAGCUAAAUGCGGAAGAGAUAAGUGCUGAAAGCAUCUAAGCACGAAACUUGCCCCGAGAUGAGUUCUCCCUGAGACUAUAAGUCUCCUGAAGGAACGUUAAAGACUAUGACGUUGAUAGGUCGGGUGUGUAAGCGUAGCGAUACGUUGAGCUAACCGAUACUAAUGAACCGUGAGGCUUAACCUU
Molecule: ribosomal RNA, 2906 nt
Filed under: Citrobacter freundii
Lineage: Bacteria; Pseudomonadati; Pseudomonadota; Gammaproteobacteria; Enterobacterales; Enterobacteriaceae
Description: 23S ribosomal RNA
Rfam family: Bacterial large subunit ribosomal RNA
Source: RNAcentral